Danio rerio (zebrafish) is the source of this 2536-nucleotide non-coding RNA. The record is from RefSeq and is a predicted model, not a curated record. NCBI's taxonomy places the organism in Eukaryota, Metazoa, Chordata, Actinopteri, Cypriniformes, Danionidae.
AGCGUAAAAACUACAAACAUGGCGGACGCGUGAGUCCGACCGUUAGGUGGAUAGGCUUUGGUAAAGACGUUUGAGUGACUGUUAAUUAACGUAUCACGCUGGAAAACGCUUAAAUCACGUUUCCCACGCUGUAUUUCAUCUGCAGCAACAAUGUGAGCUAGUAUAAAGAGGAGUUUAGCCAUUAACUUUUGAAUUCAUUACAAUACAAACACCUGAGGCGAUUUCUCUGAUUGAUGAGUGGAGAUGAUUGACAGGACACGUGACUAAGCAGCAGAACGGGCCGUUAAUGAGUAAGACUGACCCAAUGCUUUUAUAAUCUUCUGCUAUAUACUCAAAAUAUGCACUUUUUAUUCACAAACGAGUAACUUAACGUGCUUUUAAUAAUAGGCAGCAAAGGUGUCUGUUGAAUCCCGGCUCGUGUUGUUACUUCCUUGGUUACUGCCACCACGGUAACGCAAAGCUGACAGGAGGAGGAAGUGAGCGGAAUCUUCGAGUGUCUUGAUUUAACGCUACAUUAUUUUAAUCUAACGAGCACUCUGUGUUGUGUUGUGCACUCUGGCAGUCUUGUUUUUAAAGUGCUGGAGACCAUAUCGCCGCAUCUAAAGAGACCAGCAUGAGCGAGUCUGACUCUGUUUUCUACCCGCUCCACAUCGGAUGCUCCUCUCAAACCGAGUUUUUGGAUACGCAGCGCCUCUGCCGUCGGCUCAGCCAGUGUUAUCUGGAGGAGUGUGUGUUCCCGGUGCUGCUGCCGGCGCUGCAUGCUUUACUAGAGGAAUCACUGAAGCACCACUGCACACAGAAGAAAAGGAGGACAUUUAAUGGCUGUGACUUCCUUACAGAAUGGCUGUACAAUAAAAACCCACGUUGGACAGACAGAAUGCCGACACAAUUUGAGAACAUUCCGUUUGUCCAGAACUGGCUUUCCAAACAUCCCAGACCGCAGAUCCAGGUUCCUCCAACACCUGAGCAGGCUGCAGUGCUGAUCCAGGCGUUCUGGAGGGGAUAUAAGGUGCGGGCUCAUCCAGAGGUGCAGGAGCUGCGGCAGUGGCAGAGGGAACUGCGGGAGAAGAGCUGCGACAUCAACAAAACGGUUCAGGAUUUCUGGACGCAUCAGGAGAACAGAGUGUGGUCAGAGCUGGAUGCGCUGGUGGACGGCGCGGAUCCGCAUGUGGAGGCUGGAGUGUAUAUUGAGGUUGUGCCGCCGACGCCGCAGAACAGAGCGCUUUACACACCGACUCCAGCAGAGAAAACAGAGCUCCUGACGCCCUCCACACACACAGCGGCAUCUUAAAGGGCCAGUUCACACACAAACACACAGCUCUGUCAUCAUUUCAACACUCUGUCUGUUGUUCAACACUGGAGAAGAUGUUUAGCAUGAACCAUGAACUGCUGUAGUGUUUGCUUUCCUACUGUGCAAGUCAAUGGUUACUGGCUUCAAGCAUCCUUUGAAUGUACUGCAUAUGUAUUUAAUAAUAAAACAAUAAAUAUGUUUCAUUAAAGGACAUAAAGGUUCAUGAAUAUUUGGAAAUUGAUGCGUUGUAAAUGUGUUUGCCUCUAUACAGCAUCACAAUGGAUGAGAAAUGAUCAAGACGUGCUUCACCUGCAGGCGGUCAGCAGUGUUUACAUCCACAUCAGUCAGUUACAGCCUGAAGUCUGAAACUCAGAGACAUGAGCAGACGCUGGGUUCAUCUCUGCUGGUGAUCUGCCAGACCUCUGCUCUGUCUUCAGCUCCUGCUUGUUCUGGAGGCACUUCCUCUUCAGUUUAGUCUUCAGCAAGUGAAAUGCAUGCUCAAUCGGGUUCAGCUCAGGUGAUUGACUUGGCCAUUGCAUGACAUUCCACUUCUCCUUCUUAGGUUGCUGUUGCAGUGUGUUCGGGUCAUUCUCAUUUCAGCACCAGCUUUAUCUUUCAUAUGUGUUGGUGUAGAGAGCUGAAACUAUUUAGUUGUGUCGAUGUCCAGAUAUUUAUGGACCUGACUGUAUUUUACAAAACGUUUAGUCUAAAAUGGGCAGAAACUCAAAGCGAAGUAUCUGAACAAAUUAUAUUACAAACUUGAAGCUGAUAUCUCUAAAGCAGAGCCUUCAGCAGCAGUUUGGCUGCAGUACCAGACAUGACCACAUCCAGUUUACACUGCUGAUCACACAAGAGCGCCACCUUUCUCUCUGUUUUUAGCAGUAUGAGCCAUAUUUUAAACAUCUACUAUCUACAUCUAAUUUUAUAGUAUGGAAAGCUCUGUGUAUUUGAUGUGAAUAUAACCUCUAAAAACACAUGUGUGGAUUGCUGUAGCAAAGUAAUGCUGUACGUCACUGAUAAGUAGCAUUGUUGCAGAUUAAUGAAUAUCCUGUUGCUCAGUAAUAUCUAUAAUAAAUCAUCACCAGAUGUGGAAACUAGUCAUGUUAAGCUUUCAUAUGAUAUAUAGUUGUCAUGAUUGCUUUAUGUUUAGAUGUCAAUACUAUGUAUGUAUGUGGUACAGUAAGUAGAGUGGCCGUAUCUCUUCUACAUCACAUUAAAACAAAUCCUGUGCAGGAUAUGCGCUGA